Molecule: antisense RNA, 60 nt
Filed under: Agrobacterium tomkonis CFBP 6623
Lineage: Bacteria; Pseudomonadati; Pseudomonadota; Alphaproteobacteria; Hyphomicrobiales; Rhizobiaceae
Also listed under: 1 other name
Description: Agrobacterium genomosp. 3 str. CFBP 6623 ctRNA_p42d
Rfam family: ctRNA (bases 12-59)
About the family: This family represents a group of ctRNAs (or counter-transcribed RNAs) from p42d and related plasmids. ctRNAs are small, highly structured, antisense sequences which are involved in negative regulation. Members of this family are known to bind to the mRNA of repC causing translational repression.
Source: RNAcentral
GCUACAUACAGAGGAAGGCUUCCACGACGGCAACGUUAUGGGGGCCUUUUUUCUUUUGCG